Molecule: ribosomal RNA, 412 nt
Filed under: uncultured Candidatus Saccharibacteria bacterium
Lineage: Bacteria; Candidatus Saccharimonadota
Description: bacterial SSU rRNA
Rfam family: Bacterial small subunit ribosomal RNA
Source: RNAcentral
CAUGAGCGGCGGACGGCUGAGUAACGCGUAGGAAUGUACCCCAAAGUGAGGAAUAAGCCCGGGAAACCGGGUCUAAUGCCGCAUAAUCUCUUCGGAGGAAAGCCUUCGGGCGCUAUGGGAGCGGCCUGCGUAUGAUUAGCUUGUUGGUGAGGUAAAAGCUCACCAAGGCGACGAUCAUUAGCUGGUCUGAGAGGAUGACCAGCCAGACUGGGACUGAGAACGGCCCAGACCCCUACGGGGGGCAGCAAUUAGGAAUCUUUCACAAUGGGGGAAACCCUGAUGGAGCAACGCCGCGUGCAGGAGGAAGGCCUUCGGGUCGUAAACUGCUUUUAUCUGUGAAGAUUAUGACGGUAGCAGAUGAAUAAGGACCGGCUAACUCCGUGCCAACAGCCGCGGUCAUACGGAGGGUCCA